UCGAGAAUCUUUCACAAUGGGGGAAACCCUGAUGGAGCGACGCCGCGUGGAGGAUAAGGUCUUCGGAUUGUAAACUCCUGUCAUGCGAGAACAAAGCCUCACGGCCUGAUAGUAUCGCAAGAGGAAGAGACGGCUAACUCUGUGCCAGCAGCCGCGGUAAUACAGAGGUCUCAAGCGUUGUUCGGAAUCACUGGGCGUAAAGGGUGCGUAGGCGGCGCGGAAAGUCAGAUGUGAAAUCCGGAGGCUCAACCUCCGAAAUGCAUCCGAUACUCCCUCGCUAGAGAUUUGUAGAGGAGUCUGGAAUUCUCGGUGUAGCAGUGAAAUGCGUAGAUAUCGAGAAGAACGCUCGCAGCGAAGGCGAGACUCUGGGCAAAUUCUGACGCUGAUGCACGAAGGCUAGGGGAGCAAACGGGAUUAGAUACCCCUGUAGUCC
RNAcentral lists this ribosomal RNA (433 nucleotides) under uncultured bacterium. RNAcentral describes it as "bacterial SSU rRNA". It matches the Rfam family "Bacterial small subunit ribosomal RNA", at positions 355 to 796 of the family's 1533-position model. The record is from RNAcentral.